Long non-coding RNA from Aricia agestis (brown argus), 294 nucleotides. RefSeq lists it as uncharacterized. The transcript is spliced from 4 exons. The record is from RefSeq and is a predicted model, not a curated record. Lineage: Eukaryota; Metazoa; Arthropoda; Insecta; Lepidoptera; Lycaenidae.
CUCAACCGAACAUAAUAUUAUUCUCAAUAAGUAUUAUUAUUCAUAAGUAUGUCUGUGUGAGCGCAGGUCACUUAUCUCGCGAUAAAAUAUGCUAAAACAAAUAAGUGUGCUUUGAAAUAAUAUGUUGUUAUAGUGUUAUAAUUUUUUGAUUGAAGUAAAAAGGAAGGAAAAAAUGUAUACGUACACAAUAAUUGCAUUUAUAUUUGCCGCAAGUAUUGCAGAUACAACGAGAUUAAAAAGACACGAUCAAACAUGGAUAGGGCCAAAAGAAACAGACGAAAAGGAGAGUACAAA